UACGUAGGGUGCAAGCGUUAAUCGGAAUUACUGGGCGUAAAGCGUGCGCAGGCGGUUUUGUAAGUCAGAUGUGAAAUCCCCGGGCUUAACCUGGGAACUGCGUUUGAAACUACAAGGCUAGAGUGUGGCAGAGGGGGGUGGAAUUCCACGUGUAGCAGUGAAAUGCGUAGAGAUGUGGAGGAACACCGGUGGCGAAGGCGGCGAUCUGGGUCGAUACUGACGCUGAGGUGCGAAAGCGUGGGGAGCAAACAGG
Molecule: ribosomal RNA, 253 nt
Filed under: uncultured bacterium
Lineage: Bacteria
Description: partial 16S ribosomal RNA
Rfam family: Bacterial small subunit ribosomal RNA
Source: RNAcentral